This 500-nucleotide ribosomal RNA is filed under the name uncultured bacterium. Its description in RNAcentral is "partial 16S ribosomal RNA". It matches the Rfam family "Bacterial small subunit ribosomal RNA", at positions 28 to 523 of the family's 1533-position model. The record is from RNAcentral.
GACGAACGCUGGCGGCGUGCCUAAUACAUGCAAGUCGAGCGAGACUCUUCGGAGUCUAGCGGCGGACGGGUGAGUAACACGUGGGCAACCUGCCUGUAAGACUGGGAUAACACCGGGAAACCGGUGCUAAUACCGGAUAAUCCUUUUUCUCUCAUGAGGAAAAGCUGAAAGUCGGUUUCGGCUGACACUUACAGAUGGGCCCGCGGCGCAUUAGCUAGUUGGUGAGGUAACGGCUCACCAAGGCGACGAUGCGUAGCCGACCUGAGAGGGUGAUCGGCCACACUGGGACUGCGACACGGCCCAGACGCCUACGGGAGGCAGCAGUAGGGAAUCUUCCACAAUGGACGAAAGUCUGAUGGAGCAACGCCGCGUGAGCGAUGAAGGCCUUCGGGUCGUAAAGCUCUGUUGUUAGGGAGGAACAAGUACCGGAGUAACUGCCGGUACCUUGACGGUACCUAACCAGAAAGCCACGGCUAACUACGUGCCAGCCGCCGCAGUAA